CUCACACACACACUCACACACACGCAUGUACUUACACAAAUGCACUCACACAUAUGCUUAAACACAGGCAAUUUGCUUAGUUACUGUUCACAAGCCAAACAAGAGUCACUGGACACAAAGUUUGCUGCUCCACACAAUAUACAAACACUACAAAGAUGAGAACCUUGAUGAUAAAUGCAAUGUUAACACACUGAUAAAAAGCCAUCUUCUUAAUUUGUGUGUGUUUCUCUUGUUCUCUUCUGGUGGAAGGCACCCUGAAUAAGGGAGAGUGUGUGUGUGUGUGUGUCUGAUCUCAUAAGGACUGUGGGUCUACCUUACAGGACCCACAUUCUGUGGAAAUGAAUGUUUAGUGACCGGUUUUCAGGUGAAGUUUCAGCAGAGUAAGGCCUAGUCCACACAUACACAGCAAAGUGCGCACUGCAGCGAGGAGCGUGCACACCGGCCCUACUGACCAAUCAUCUCUACGGUUUCUUGACGACGGCGGGGCUUGAUUAUCGGAGUGACACCUACAAUAACCACUCACAGCGGACUGGGGACGAGUCUACUGCAAUUGCGAAUGAGAGGCGCGUCCGACGCCAUUUCGUGAGCGCAGUGCGUUACAACCCAAGCGGCCGCUGCGGCACUGGCGCAUCAUUCAGUUUUUGGUUGUUUUUAAACUUGAGCCUCUGAGGGGAGAGGUGCGCAGUCUGGCGGGGGGGGGAGACAUCCUCAGCUCCGCCCACAAGCCUGUGAAGGAAAGGCAGUGGGAGGAUGAACAGAGAGACGGACAGCCAGCUGCCAGACGAGCGCCCAUCGGCACAGCUGCAGCAGGAACAGUAGGUGAAGAAUCAAGGGAGGGAGGAUGAUGAGGAAGAGGAAGAGUGGGGGGGGAUAAAGACCUCAUAAACAGAGAUGAUGAUUCAUAGAAACGACAAGUGUGACCGACUGUUUAAAGCCUCCC
Molecule: long non-coding RNA, 940 nt
Organism: Megalops cyprinoides (Indo-Pacific tarpon)
Lineage: Eukaryota; Metazoa; Chordata; Actinopteri; Elopiformes; Megalopidae
Exons: 4
Source: RefSeq, a predicted model, not a curated record